RNAcentral lists this ribosomal RNA (408 nucleotides) under bacterium enrichment culture clone ALO1_GLFRUDD03GAUJQ. RNAcentral describes it as "bacterial SSU rRNA". It matches the Rfam family "Bacterial small subunit ribosomal RNA", at positions 9 to 417 of the family's 1533-position model. The record is from RNAcentral.
GAGUUUGAUCGUGGCUCAGAUUGAACGCUGGCGGCAUGCCUUACACAUGCAAGUCGAACGGCAGCACGGGAGCUUGCUCCUGGUGGCGAGUGGCGAACGGGUGAGUAAUGCAUCGGAACGUAUCCUGGAGUGGGGGAUAACGUAGCGAAAGUUACGCUAAUACCGCAUAUUCUGUGGGCAGGAAAGCGGGGGACCUUCGGGCCUCGCGCUCUUGGAGCGGCCGAUGUCGGAUUAGCUAGUUGGUGAGGUAAAGGACUCACCAAGGCGACGAUCCGUAGCAGGUCUGAGAGGAUGAUCUGCCACACUGGAACUGAGACACGGUCCAGACUCCUACGGGAGGCAGCAGUGGGAAUUUUGGACAAUGGGGGCAACCCCGAUCCAGCCAUGCCGCGUGAGUGAAGAAGGCCU